GCCGAGGAGCAGCUGGGAUGCGGAUGCACCGGCGGCUGGAAGGGAGGCGGAGGUGCAGAGCUACCGGCGGCUGGAAGGGAGGGGCCGAGGGCGAGAUGCAGAGCUGCCGGUGCCCAAGGAUGCGCCGGUGAGAAGUAGCCACCUGCCUUUCGUCGAUCCAGCGGACAGGCGGGAAGUAUCACACGGGAACCCUCUCUUCCACACGCGGGAAUGAUUUGGGGGCGGGUGGGCGACAAAUUUUGUAUCUCAUGAGUAGAGCGUCCGCCCGUCCUGCCGAUGCCAAACAGGGGAAGGCGGACACCUAACAGAGGAAGGCGGACGCCAUACGCGAGGAUAGCUAGGCGGCCUGGACUCCCAGCAAGCUGCAGCGCCCGGACGCCCAGCAAGCUGCAGUGCCCGGACGCCUAGGCGACGCCUUUAAAACCAUGAUUCUAGAUUCAUGGAGUGCCAGUACAAUGUAAUUCAUGUUUGAUCUAGAAAUUUAUAGGAGCAGAUUGCUUGUCGCAAGUCAGACAUGCUCCAAUCAGUUUUUAAUGUUUUAUUAACCCUUAUGCACACACCAUGUCUGUAUAGAUGCUUGAUUUAAUUUUCCUAUAUUCCCAUUCUUGUU
Molecule: long non-coding RNA, 610 nt
Organism: Panicum virgatum (switchgrass)
Lineage: Eukaryota; Viridiplantae; Streptophyta; Magnoliopsida; Poales; Poaceae
Exons: 2
Source: RefSeq, a predicted model, not a curated record